This 17910-nucleotide long non-coding RNA is filed under the name Citrus maxima (pomelo). RNAcentral's name for it is "long non-coding RNA (CMAX_LNC003769)". The record is from RNAcentral. Lineage: Eukaryota; Viridiplantae; Streptophyta; Magnoliopsida; Sapindales; Rutaceae.
UCCCAUUUUUAAUGCUUCAAUGCAUCCUCAGUUCACUGCCUAGGUCAGAUUACUGGAAGGAAUUUGAAAUUUCUUAUUUAUGAGACAAAUCAUUCUUGCUCUCUAUCUCUCUCUGUAUUUUCAUUUUAUUACUUAUAAAUCUCAUUAAUUUGACUGGGCAGGUUUUAUGGUUUUGUAACCUAGCAUUGGAUGACUCUAAACAUGGCUACUUCUCUCAGAGAUUUUUGGUGUGCUUGAUAUCAGUAUUGAGCUCAAUCAUCUGCAAGGUUUGUUUCAGUUCUUAUAGUUUGUUUUAAAAUUUUUCGUUGCCAUGUAUUUCUAUGGUGUGGAUUUUAUGAAAUUCAUGUUUAAUUCAGCAAACUCUGUUUCGUCAAGUAUUUAGUUCUAUGACUGGCAAUAAUAGAUAGAAAACCUUAAAAGGGGCAUAACAUUUUUCUUUUUUUGUUGUUUUUUUAACUUUGUUUUGAUGUAAUAAAAGUAUUCCUUCCUCCCAAACUCAAUUGAGAUGAUUUAAUUGUUCUUUUCUUAUACUGAAAUUUUUAGAAGCUCUGAUUGCCACUGAUUUAUAAAGAAAACAACAAUUGUAAAAUUAUUAUGCUGCUGUCAUGCUGCUAUAUGUUGUUCAAAACAGCACAUGGAACUUCCAAGCACUGAUUUUAGCAACUGGACAGCAUCCAUAAAAUUUUUCCGGUGUGUCAUGCCGCUAUUUGUUGUAAAAAACAACAUUGAAAAGUUUCAGGUGCUAUUUUAACACAAUUAUAGCAGCAUGACAGCACCCAAAAAUUUUUCUGGGUGUUGUCUUGCUGGUAUUUGCUGUUAAAAACAACACCUGGAAGUUCCAAAUGCUGUUUUUAUUAGCUGGACAGCACCAAAAAAUUUUUUAAGUGUUGUCAUGCUGCUGUACAGCUGUUUUUAACACAGUUUUAGCAGCUACGUGGCACUUAUAAAAUAUUGUAGGUGCUGUAAUUUGAUGUUUACUGUCAAAAACUUGCUGUUUGCUAUCAAAAACAGCACCUGAAAAUUUCAGUUGCUGUUUUUAUCAACUAGACAGUGUUAGCCUAAAAGGCUACACAUAAUGUAAUUUUGAUAAUAACAAACAUGUGUCUUAAGUAAAAAUAAUAAAUAUUGUAUUUCACAUUUUCACUAGUUUUUGAAGGAUAAUAUUUAUCCAAGUGAAUCAAGUGAAAUCAAGAUUGAAGACACUCAAAGGACAACGGCGACGUCAAGAAUAUAGUUUGGAGCUUAACGAACAAAUUAGUGCGAAAAAUUCUAGUAAAGCCGGUAUGAUUUAAUUGAUGCAUGAUUUAGCAUUUGAGAAGCUCAAGAGAUUAAUUCAAUUAAAUACUUUUCAUAAACUAAAAUGUUUUAUUUUUAUAAAGUAAAGUAUUUUGUAGAUUUGAGUAAUUUGGACUUAAAUGCUAAGUUUUGAAAUAUUUGAUUUUAAUAAGUAUUAUUAUUAAAUUUCGAAGUUGGAUGUUUUUACAAACAUUUGAAAUGUUUUGGGCCAUACUAUAAUUAUGAAUAUUUUGGACUACAGUGAAAGGUUUUGAGAACUUUGAAAAAAUGGGUAUUAUGUUGAAAAGGACCUUUGUGCGAAACAAUAAAAUCUUUGGGGCCAUAUCAUAAUUUCAAAAAGUUUGGGAAAGACAACUAUUCUUAAGAAGUUCUGAAAUUGGACCUAUUUGUAAAGUUUUCUGACAUUUUGGGUCAUAUUUUAAUUAUAGAAAGUUUUGGGCCAAAGUGUAAUUUUGGAGAACAGUGUUACUGUUGCAAAAUUCAAAAAUAACAGUAACAUUACUGUUCCUGAGCGGCUAGCGGGAUAAAUCAAGCGGCUAACCACUUGAGCGCUGGAAUUUGCCUAUAACGGCUAGUUUUUGGGCUUUCACUAUAAAAACUCAACUCAAACUUCAUUUUAAACAAAAAAUGCACGACAAUAUAAGAUCAUACAACAUAUAUUGAGCUUCCAAAAAGUAAAUCAUCAUUGAUUGAAUCAUUGUUGAGCUAUUAUUUGCAUAUCCACUCGUAGAGAGAGUUUUUGUUGUAAUUUUCAUUUCUUAUCCAAUUGUGAGUGUGUAAGUGUAGGAAACACUUGGGGUGAAGAGAUUGGGGAGAUAAUCUCUUGAUUGUAAAGGUUCAUUGACACAUUGGAAGUCAAUUGUAAGAACUUGAAGCCUUGGGAGGCUUGGAUAGUGAAAUCCUCGAGCUUGGUUGGCUUGGAGGCGUGGACGUAGGCGGGGAUUGCCGAACCACGUAAAAAUCCGCGUGUUUGUUUUUCUCUUCCCUUGCUCUUUUAUGUUUACGCUUGUUUGAAUUUAUUGUUCUCUAUUUCAUUAAGGCGUUAGAUUGAUUUGUUGUGGAAUUAUAUUGCAUAAUUUUUAAAAACCCAAUUCACCCCCCUCUUUGGUUGCAUUACUUGCAUUUCAUUUGGUAUCAGAGCUUGGUUCUCUUGUUAGGACUUAACCGUCUAGAGUAAAAGAUCCAUGGCAACCCAAAAUGAUUCAACCUUUAGGGAAGGACAAUCCACAACUAGGCCACCGUUCUUUGACGAAAAUGACUACCCGUAUUGGAAAACUAGGAUGAGAAUAUAUUUACAAGCACUAGAUUAUGAAAUUUGGGAAGUUGUUUGUGAUGAUCCAUUUAUGCCUUUGACUAAAAAUGAAUUCGGGGAAGACAUUCCAAAACCUUCACGGGAAUGGAAUGAAUUGGAAAAGAGAAAAGCUUCUCUAAAUUCCAAAGCCAUAAAUGCCUUGUUUUGUGCACUCGAUAAGAAAGAGUUUCAUAGAGUGUCUAGUUGUGAAAGUGCUAAUGAAAUUUGGCACAAACUUGAAGUUGUUUAUGAAGGCACGAAUCAAGUGAAAGAGUUUAAGAUUAGUAGGUACACUCGGCAAUAUGAAUUGUUCCAAAUGGAACAAAAUGAGAGUGUAUAUUCUAUGUAUACUAAAUUUACAGACAUAGUAAACACUCUAGGAGCCCUAGGAAAGACAUUUUCAAAUAGCGAAAAAGUUAAUAAAAUCAUUAGAUUAUUACCUAAGGAGUGGAGACCAAAAAAGACUGCCAUUGAGGAAGCUAAAGAUUUGAAUAUCUUAUUUAUUGAUGAUUUAAUUGGUUCUCUUAUUUCUUAUGAGGAAGAUUUGGCAGCUGAAAGAGGAAAUGAGGAAAAAAAGAAAAACAUUGCUUUCAAAGCCACAAAAUAUGAGAGUGAUGGGGAAGUGAGCCGGAUGAUGAGGAGUUGGCUAUGCUAGCAAGGAGGUUCAGAAAAUUUUUCAAGAAAACCGGUGACCGAAGAAAAUUUAGAAGCUUCAAAAAUCAAAAGGAGAAGAAAGAGGUAAUCAUAUGUUAUGAAUGCAAAAAGCCCGGCCAUAUAAGAUCGGAUUGUCCACUUCUCAACAAACACAAGAAGAAAGCUAUGGUUGCUACUUGGGAUGAUAGCGAUGAAGAUUCAAGUGAUGAAGAAUAGUCGCAAGAAGUAUCAAACCUAGCACUUAUGACACUAGGAGAUGAUGAUGAUCUCAAUGAGGUAAGUGAUCCAACCUAUGAUGAAUUGUAUGAUGCUUUUAAAGAAAUGCAUGAUGAGUUGAUGAAAAUUGGUAAAAAAAAUGCAUGCCUUAAAAAGAAAUUACUAGAAUCUACAAAUGAAAAGGAUGCCAUGCAAAAAUGCAAUGAGUCAUUGAAUGAAAAGAUUAAAGGAUUAGAAUUAGAGAAUAAAACCUUGCAUAAUAGAGUUGUAUUAUCAAAUGAAAAAUCUAGCACUUCACAUGAGCAUUUAGAGUCACAUAUAGAUGAUUUGAAAAAGGAAAAUGAAAUGCUCAAGAAAAAGAAUAUUGAACUUAGUAAUGUUGUUCUAAAAUUUACAAAUAGCCAAAAGAUGUUAGAUAACAUGCUUAACUCCCAAAAAUGUGUUUUUGAUAAAGGAGGACUUGGGUAUAAGCCUAACUUGAAGCAAAAGUAUUAUAAGAAUUAUUUUGUUAAAGCUACCUCCACAAAUGAUCAUAAGAUUGUUUGUCAUUAUUGUAAUCAAAAUGGUCACAUGAAAUAUAGAUGUCCCGUAAAAAGAAAUGCAUAUAAUGGUGUGAAAUGUGUGUGGGUUCCAAAAGGAACCGUUUCUAACGAUCAAGGACCCAAAAAGGUUUGGGUACCUAAAACAUAAGAUUUUCUUUGCAGGGCUUGAAGAAAAAGAAAAAUAAAUGGUACUUGGAUAGCGGAUGUUCUAGGCAUAUGACCGGAAACUAUGCAUGGUUCUCAAGUUUCACCAAAAUCGAAAAUGGUGGAGAUGUAUCAUUUGGAGAUAACUCAAAAGGAAAAAUUCUCGGAAUUGGAAAUGUUGGUAAAAUUUCUUCAACUCUAAUUGAAAAUGUGUGUUUGGUUGAAAAUUUGAAACACAAUUUGAUUAGCAUUAGUCAACUAUGUGACAAAGGUUAUAAAGUUGUUUUUGAUAAAUUAAGAUGUGUUAUUGAGAAUGCAUGUGAUGGGAAAAUUUUGUUUAUGGGAAAUAGAUGUGGCAAUGUUUACACGAUUGAUAUAGAAUGUGCAUCUACUCAUGAUAAAUGUUUUUCGGCAUUAUAUAAUGAUGGUUGGUUAUGGCAUAGAAGACUAGGACAUGCAAGCAUGGAUUUAAUUUCAAAAAUUUUGAAAAACGAUUUAGUUAAAGGUCUUCCAAAAAUCGAUUUUCAAAAGGAUAGGAUUUGUGAAGCAUGUCAAUUUGGAAAAUAAAUCAAAACCUCUUUAAAAAACAAGAAUCAUAUCUCUACUUUAAAACAUCUUCAAUUACUUCACAUAGAUUUGUUUGGACCCUCUAGAUAUGCUAGUUUAAGUGGUAAAUUUUAUGCAUUUGUAAUUGUAGAUGAUUAUUCUAGAUACACAUGGGUAUUAUUCCUAGCUAAUAAGAAUGAUGCCAUUGAUGCAUUUAGAAUUUUCUGUAAAAAAGUUCAAAAUGAAAAGGGUUAUUCUAUUACUUAUAUUAGAAGUGAUCAUGGUGGAGAAUUUGAAAAUCAUGCAUUUGAAAACUUUUGUAAUGAUUUUGGCAUUGAGCAUCAAUUUUCAUCACCUAGGACUCCACAACAAAAUGGAGUUGUUGAGAGGAAGAAUAAGUCUAUUCAAGAAAUGGCUAGGACCAUGUUAAAUGAAAAUGCAUUACCAAAAUAUAUUUGGGCCGAAGCCAUCAACACCGCUUGUUAUGUUUUAAAUCGGGUGUUGAUUAGACCUUAUCUCAAUAAAACUCCCUAUGAGCUUUGGAAAGAUAGAAAACCCAACAUUGGUUAUUUCAAAGUUUUUGGAUGCAAAUGUUUUAUUUUAAACACAAAAGAUAAUCUUGGUAAAUUUGAUCCAAAAUCUGAUGUUGGCAUCUUUCUCGAGUAUUCAAACUCAAGCAAAGCUUAUAGAGUUUAUAAUAAAAGAACUUUAGUUAUGGAAGAAUCCAUGCAUGUUACGUUUGAUGAAUCUAACCCCUCCUCCGCGGAGAAAGGAGUUGUUAAUGAUGAUGCAGAUGGAGAGUUACAAGAAGAAUCAUCAAAAGAGAAUCAAGAGAAUGCACCACAAGAAAAUCAAGAGGAUAAACAAGAAGAACAAUCAAAUAUGGAGCUGGAAAAACAAGAAGGUAUUUCUUAAACACUCCCCAAGGAGUGGAGGUAUGUUUCCUCUCAUCUUAAGGAUUUAAUCUUAGGUGAUCCUUCAAGAGGUAUUACAACUAGAUCAUCACUUAGAAACACAUGUGAGCAUGCUGCAUUUAUUUCUCAAAUUGAACCAAAAUCUUUUGCGAAUGCGGAAAAUGAUGAGUUUUGAAUUAUGGCAAUGCAAGAGGAGUUAAAUCAAUUUGAGAGAAAUAAAGUAUGGGAAUUGGUUCCUAAACUGGAACAUCAAUCCAUUAUAGGCACUAAAUGGGUAUUUAGAAAUAAAAUGGAUGAAUCUGGUAUGGUUGUAAGAAAUAAAGCUAGAUUAGUGCCUCAAUGAUACAACCAAGAAGAAGGAAUUGAUUUCGAUGAAACAUUUGCACCUGUAGCUAGAUUAGAAUCCAUUAGGAUGUUGUUAGCAUUUGCAUGUCAUAAAGAUUUUAUUUUAUUUCAAAUGGAUGUCAAGAGUGCUUUCCUAAAUGGUUAUAUUAUGGAGGAAGUUUAUGUGAAACAACCUCCUGGUUUCGAAAAUGAGAAAUUUCCAAAUCAUGUGUAUAAGUUAUCAAAAGCAUUGUAUGGAUUAAAACAAGCACCUAGAGCAUGGUAUGAUAGGCUUACAAAUUUCUUGUUGGAUAACGGUUUUUCGAUGGGAAGAGCGGAUACUACCCUCUUUAUUAAAAAUAAAAAUCAAGAUAUACUUGUUGUUCAAAUUUAUGUUGAUGAUAUUAUUUUUGGUUCUACUAAUGAAUCUUUGUGCAAAGAAUUUUCCUCUUGUAUGAGUAAGGAAUUUGAGAUGAGCAUGAUGGGAGAAUUAAAGUAUUUUCUUGGACUUCAAAUCAAACAAAACAAUGAGGGGAUUUUCAUCAACUAAGCUAAGUACGUCAAAGACUUGCUCAAGAGAUUUGGUAUUGAUGAAUCAAAUACCAAGAAUACUCCAAUGAGUACAACAAUCAAGCUUGAUAAAGAUGAGAAAGGUAAAGAGGUUGAUAUUAAAAAGUAUCGAGGUAUGAUCGGAUCCGUACUUUACUUAACCGCAAGUAGACCCGAUAUCAUGUUUAGUGUAUGUUUGUGUGCAAGAUUUCAAUCAUGUCCCAAUGAAUCUCAUUUGCUUGCUGUUAAAAGAAUUUUUCGUUAUUUAAGUGGAACCAUAGAUAUUGGCCUUUGGUAUCUUAGAGGAACUCAUAUAGAUUUAACCUGUUUUUCGGAUGCCGAUUUUGCUGGUCACAAGGUCGAUAGAAAGAGUACUAGUGGAACUUGCCAUUUUCUUGGUCAUUCACUUGUUUCAUGGUUUAGUAAGAAACAAAAUUCCGUGGCACUCUCAACUACCGAGGCAGAAUAUACUGCCGCAGGAAGUUGUUGUGCACAAGCACUUUGGAUGAAACAAACACUUAGAGACUAUGGUAUUGUUCUUGAAAAAAUUCCUAUCAAGUGUGAUAAUACUAGUGCCAUAAAUCUUUCAAAAAAUCCCAUUCAACAUUCUAGGACCAAGCAUAUAGAGAUUAGGCAUCAUUUCUUGAGAGAUCAUGUUCAAAAAGGUGAUAUUGCAUUCGAAUUUAUCUCUACGGAAAAACAACUUGCCGAUAUUUUUACAAAACUCCUUUGCGAAGAACAAUUUUCAAAAAUUCGGCAUGAACUUGGGAUGAUGAAAUUUUCGCAUUAACAUCUCUAUUUAUGUUAUUGAAUCUAUUCAAAUUGUUUGGAAACCAAAGGAGUCGUUGAAAAUCCCAAGUCUGCACAAGCUGUAAUGAAUUGGUCAUAACUCCUUUUAGAGAACUCCAAAUCCAGUUCUGUAAAAUUUAUUGGAAAGCUAACUUAAUUAUCUUUCCAACGGUAUAUAGCUUGCAAAUUACUUCUGGCUCAAUCAAUACAGUUUUUAUUCCGAAUUUGACAUUUCUGCAUUUUAUUAAGUUUUGAAUGCUUAUAUGCUUCAUGAUUGUAUGCUUGUUGGAUGGAUUAUUUGUUUGAAUUAAUUAUCUUUUGGAUGUUUAAAAUCAUGAAUCAUGCAUUAAAUUGGCUCUUGAGAUGUUUCGGGAUCACAAAAUGGUCACGAAAUUGAUUAAAAUUGGCCGGAAAUCAACUAAGGUGCAGCUGGACAGCCGCCUUGGAAAUGUCCCCCCAACCCGAGAGCAAGCGGCUAGCCGCUUGGUCACGGGUUUGGCAUAUGGUUUUUUUUGCUUCUUCUUCUUCCUUUGUUAAUUUUCUGCACAUGUUCCUUUUUCUCUCUCAAAACCGUGAGCAACCCAUCCAUUUUCACGUCCAUUUUCUUCCAUUUUCAUCCAUUUUCAUGCCCAAAUCAACCAUUCAAACUAAUACCCAUGCAUUUCAUCUUCAUUAAACACUUCUCCAUCAUGAUUUCUUCACUUGUUCUUGAUUAUUUCAUCAUUAUCUCUCACGGGUGAACAGUACCUCUCCAUUUCUCUCUCAAAUUUCUUCAUCUUUCACUCAUUCUCUUGCCAAAAUCAAUCAUCCAACUCAUUAUUCAUCCAUUACUCCAAUUUUCACUCUCAAAACUUGAUUUCAUUAUCUCUCCACAUAAAACCCAAAAUAAAAAACCUAACUUACCCAUUUCUUUCUCUUCCCAUUUAAGCUCUUUUUAGUCCCCUUUUGAUCCAAUCAACACCAUCCAUUAUCUUAAAUCAUCUCUUGGAUCAACACAAUCGGUUUUAAAUAAUCCAUUUCACUCAUUAUUUUACAAAACCGAAUUUGUGCAUUUUGGGUAUUUUAAAUUACCAUGGUUUCUUAUUAUAUUAUGCACCUACAUCUUCAUAUGCAUAAUUGUUUUAAGGGAAAAUAUCCACCGUCCACCCGUUUUUUACACCUUUUUCAAAAAUACACAAUUCCUUCAUUUUUUGGCUGGAAUCCACCUAAAGUUACAUUUUGUUUCACUUUUCCACUUCCGUUUGGAAUCCGUUAAGAAAACUAACGGAAACUUAAAAAAAUGACCAUUUUACCCCCAAAACGAAAAUUACAAUUUCACCUUAAAAAUUACCAAAAAUAAUUAGAUUAAAUUUUAAUUUCUUUUAUGAUUAGAUUAAAAAUUAAAAAUUACAAUUUCACCUUAAAAAUAAUUAGAUUAAAAAUUAAAAAUUAAAAAUUACAAUUUCUUUUAUCCUCUCAUUAAUUUUUGUUUUGGGGGUAAAACGAAAAUUACAAUUUCACCUUAAAAAUUACCAAAAAUAAUUAGAUUAAAUUUUAAUUUCUUUUAUGAUUAGAUUAAAAAUUAAAAAUUACAAUUUCACCUUAAAAAUAAUUAGAUUAAAAAUUAAAAAUUACAAUUUCUUUUAUCCUCUCAUUAAUUUUCGUUUUAGGGGUAAAACAAAAAUUACAAUUUCACCUUAAAAAUUACCAAAAAUAAUUAAAUUAAAUUUUAAUUUCUUUUAUGAUUAGAUUAAAAAUUAAAAAUUACAAUUUCACCUUAAAAAUAAUUAGAUUAAAAAUUAAAAAUUACAAUUUCUUUUAUCCUCUCAUUAAUUUUCGUUUUGGGGGUAAAAUGGUCAUUUUUUUAAGUUUCCGUUAGUUUUCUUAACGGAUUCCAAACGGAAGUGGAAAAGUGAAACAAAAUGUAACUUUAGGUGGAUUCCAGCCAAAAAAUGAAGGAAUUGUGUAUUUUUGAAAAAGGUGUAAAAAACGGGUGGACGGUGGAUAUUUUCCCUUGUUUUAAUUGUGGAUUACGGAUUAUGGUUGUUUAAUAUUCGUGUUGUGCCAAAUAUCAGUAAAGAACCGAAAUGGCUCCCCAAGAUCCACUCAAGAAGGGUUCUUGAUUCUGAAACUGAUGUGAACAGAACUCGGCUUAAAGAACACUAUAUCAACCCAGUUAAUCAAAGCAAGUUUAAUGAAAGAUUUUAAGAAUAGAAAGGACAACACAAGAAAGCUAUAGUGGUUCGGCUAUGGAAGCCUACGUCCACUGUGAAAGGAUGAACCCAAGUUUUAUUGAACAAGUGUCUUACAGAGUACAAGCUUAUUAGAGAAGCUAAGCACACAUGAACGUAAUCAUUAACCCCAGAAUACCCAGCUAUAUAUAAGUGAUGCUCGAUCAAGAAGAACUCUCAAUCACCAGCAAGCUUCCCCUGUUUCCCGUGAAGAAGAACAGUAGCUUCCCGCGCUGAUUAACGGCUUAACAGAUUUCUGAAUAAGCCUUCAUUACACGUGUCUUUAUCUCUGUGGUUUAAAGUAACAAAACGAUAGUUCAAGCAGCCGUUUAGUUUAAGUGAGGCACGUGCACACCACAUGCCUUCUUUGCAUAUAUAGAUGACACUGUAAUCUUGUCAUAUAGCUCUCUCUGGAUUGUCAACCGACAUGUCAUGAUGUUGUCUCAUCUUCAACCGACUUGUCGCACUUGACUAUAGAAUGAUUUGCAGUUCAUAUUCAACAUUCUCCACCUUGAGCUCAAAUCUCAGGUUCACCCUUCCACUUUUCCUGCAGUCUAUACCCUGCAGAUGCCAACUGAGUUCAAGCAGAACUCAAACUUAGCUCCUGGUACAGCUUUGGUAAGCAUGUCAGCAAUGUUGCUAUCAAUGUGUAUUUUGGCCAGCUUAAUCACACCCUUUGAUAUUUCCAAUCUGACAAAGUGAAGCUUGAUAUCAAUAUGCUUGGUCUUCUCGUGAUGAAUCUGGUUUUUACUCAGACAUAUGGCACUUUGGCUGUCACAAUGAACUGUGAUUUGUUUUUGUUCAAACCCCAACUCUGUCACCAUCCCUUUGAGCCAGAUAGCUUCCUUGAUUGCCUCUGCAGCUGCUGUGUAUUCUGCCUCAGUUGUUGACAGAGCAACAACACUCUGCAGUGAAGCCUUCCAGUUUAUGGUGCAGCCAUUAAGCAUAAAAAGAAAACCUAUUAAAGACCUUCUUUUAUCCAGAUCUCCAGCAUAAUCUGCAUCUACAUAACCCUCUACACUAACCUCUGCAUAUUUCUCAGCUCCAUAGAUUAAACCAUAUCCAGUUGUACCAGCAAGGUAUCUUAAGAUCCAUACAACAGCCCUCCAAUGAUCCUUCCCAGGAUUUGCCAUAUACCUGCUAACCACACUCACUGCAUGUGACAUAUCAGGCCUAGUCAGGACCAUUGCGUACAUUAAACAUCUAACAGCACUUGAGUAUGGAAAUUUUUCCAUUUCAGCCUUCUCAGUAUCAGAGCUUGGACACUGUUGGCAGGACAGCCUGAAAUGAGAGGGCAGUGGUGUCUGUACUGGUUUACAUUUAUCCAUGUUGAAUUUCUCAAGCACUUUCCUAAUGUAUUUGUGCUGUGUUAGGCUUAGGAUACCAUUCUUCCAGUCUCUCUUUAGCUGAACUCCAAGGAUCUUCUUUGCAGCACCCAGAUCCUUCAUCUCAAAUGUAUUGCUCAGCUGCUAUUUCAGUUCAUUGAUGAACUCCAUCUCCUUACAAGCUAUUAACAUGUCGUCUACAUAGAGCAGUAAGUAGAUCUUGUCACCACCUUUUAUGGUUUUAAAGUAAACAUAGCAGUCAAAACUGCUCAUUUGAAAACUAUGAUCUGACAUAAAUCUGUCAAACCUUAGAUACCACAGUCUUGGAGACUGUUUUAAUCCAUAUAGUGACUUCCUUAGAUGACAGACAUGAUCAGCCUUUUCUGGAUCCUUAUACCCUUCAGGUUGUGACAUCACUAUCAUCUCAUCUAUUUCACCAUGCAGGAAGGCAGUCUUCACAUCCAUCUGUUCAAGAUGCAUGUCUUGUACAGCCACUAGUGAUAGCAGGAUCCUCAGGGAGGCAUGUCUCACCACUGGGGAGAAAACUUCUGUGAAGUCAACCCCUUCUCUUUGAGUGAAGCCCUUUGCAACCAAUCUGGCUUUAUAUCUUUGUGGCUCAACAUCUGGUAUUCCCUCCUUAAUUCUGUAAAUCCAUUUGCACCCUACUAACUUCUUGUUUGCUGGUCUUUCAAUGAGGUUCCAGGUGUGAUUUUUUUUCAAAGACAUCAUUUCCUCAUCCAUAGCCUUGAUCCACUCUUCUGCUUUAUCACUGUUGAUAGCUUCUGAGUAUGUUCUAGGUUCAUCUGUUGCUAUUUCAUGUGCUGCUGUUAAUGCAAAUGCUAUUAGAUCUGCAUAUGCAUAUCUUCUAGGAGGUCUUAUUACUCUCUUUUCUCUGUCCCUCACUAACUGAUAAUCUUCACUUCUCCCCUGAUCACUUGCUGCUUCAAUCUCAGUGUCAUGUAUUUCCAUGUCUGUUAUAUCUCCAGCCUCUGAUCUUGAUUUAUGUUUCUGGUUUGAGUUUGACAGCUCCACCUCAAGAUAAGAUCUCUCAUCUUUCUCUUUUAUUUCUGCAUUUGUAGUCUUUAAAGAUUUUGAGUGUUGGAGCAUCUCAACUUCAUUAAAUACUACAUCUCUGUUUAUGAUUGCUUUUGGUGGCUUCAUGUCUGUGCACCACAGUUUAUACCCUUUUACCCCUUCAGGAUAACCAAGAAAUACACAUUUCAAUGCCCUAGGCUCUAAUUUGCCUUGUCUGAUGUGAGCAUAUGCUGGACAACCAAAGAUCUUCAAACUGGAGUAAUCUGCUGGUUUACCAUACCAAAGCUCAUAUGGUGUCUUGAAGUUAAUUCCAGUUGAAGGGCUUCUGUUCACAAUGUGACAGGCUGUUGACAGAGCCUCAGCCCACAAGGACAUAGGUAGCUUAGAGUGAAUGAACAUACACCUCACUUUGUCAACUAAGAUUCUGUUCAUCCUCCCAGCUAAUCCAUUUUGCUGAGGUGUAUACCUUACUGUUUUGUGCCUCAUGAUCCCAUGCUUGCUGCAAAAUUCUUCAAAUCUCUUGUUGCAGAAUUCUAAUCCAUUAUCAGUUCUGAGCUUUUUAACCUUCCUACUGGUCUGAAUUUCAAUCAGUGUUUUCCAGUUCUUGAAUUGUUCAAACAUUUCAUCUUUGUUCCUCAGCACAUACACCCAAACCAUUCUGGAAUGGUCAUCAAUUAGAGAUAGAAAGUACCUUACCCCUCCUAAAGAUGCUGUCUGUGCAGGUCCCCACAGAUCAGCAUGUAUGUAUUCUAGAGUUCCUCUUGAAACAUGUGUACCAGUGCUGAAUUUAACUCUUGAGGAUUUGCCUAGGACACACUCCUCACAAAAUUCCAAGGGCUCUAUUUUAUCUUCACCCAAGACUCCCUGUUUUGAUAGUUCUCUCAAGCCUCUCUCACUCAUAUGGCCUAAUCUAAAGUGCCAAUAUAAGGUUUUGUUUAGAUUCUGAUUUGAAACUCCAACAUCUCCUGUGACUACAGACCCCUGGAGCACAUACAGGCCAUUGUCUAAGUUUCCUUUCAUCAACACCAUGGACCCUUUCAACACCUUCAAAAUGCCUGACUCAAGCUUGAUAACACACCCCAUUUUGUCAAGCAUGCCAAGAGAAAUCAAGUUUCUCUUUAAAUCAGGGACAUGUCUGACAUUUGCUAAUUCUCUUAUUGUGCCAUCAAGCAUUUUCAGUUUAAUGGUGCCCUUGCCAAUUACUCUACAACUAGCAUCAUUUCCCAUUACAACUAUCCCACCAUCAUAGGUUUCAUAGUUCUUAAAGAAAUUUCUAUCAGGGCACAUAUGGAAUGAACAACCAGAAUCUAAAACCCAGUUACCUCUAGAUGCACCAUCAGAGACUAUGAGAACCCCAGCAGAGUCAUAACCAUCAGAUUCUUGUCAUUCUGAUGCAACAGCAGCAUCACCAGUCUUCUCUUUUGUUUCUUUGCCUUUAUUCUUCCUCUCUGGACAUCUUUCUUGAAGUGGCCUUCCUUGUGGCAAUGGAAGCACUUCAUGUUCUUGGGUCUGGAUUUGGAUCUUUUCUUCUUCCCUUUACCACCCUCUCUCUUUUCUGGCCUCCCUCUAACUGUUAACCCUUCCCCAUGACUUGCUUCUUUCUUACUUGCAGCCUUAGAGCUCAAUGUCUCUUUUACAUCCACCAUCGAGAGGGACUGUCUUCCAUACAUGAGAGUGUCAACCAGAUGCUCAUAAGAGCUUGGUAGAGAGCACAACAGGAUCAUGGCUUUAUCUUCAUCAUCGAUCUUUACAUUAAUGUCUUCAAGAUCCAAAAUGAUCUUGUUAAAGACAUCAAUGUGAUCAAAUAUUGAUGAACCUUCCUCCAUCUGCAAUGUGUAAAGCUUCUUUUUAGUGGCUAACCUCUUGGCCAUGGACUUUUUGGUGUACAAGUCCUCAAGCUUCUUCCACAAUCCAGCAGCAGUUGUCUCUCCUCCCACUUCUCUGAGUACACCAUCUCCAAGACUUAAGAUAAUUGCACUAUGAGCCCUAUCAAGCACAUCUGGAAGAUCAUCAUCUGAUAUCUUCCUUGGUUUCUUAGGUAAUGUGACUUCGGCAAGGGCUUCAUCCAGGCCUUGAUGUACCAGCAGUGCUUUCAUCUUAAGUCUCCAUAGGUGAAAGUCAUUUUCACCAGUAAACUUUUCUACUUCAAGUUUAGGCACAGUCAUCUUUAGAUCAAGAACUUCAGAGAGUAGCUCUGAUACCAAUUUUUUGUGCCAAAUAUCAGUAAAGAACCGAAAUGGCUCCCCAAGAUCCACUCAAGAAGGGUUCUUGAUUCUGAAACUGAUGUGAACAGAACUCGGCUUAAAGAACACUAUAUCAACCCAGUUAAUCAAAGCAAGUUUAAUGAAAGAUUUUAAGAACAGAAAGGACAACACAAGAAAGCUAUAGUGGGUCGGCUAUGGAAACCUACGUCCACUGUGAAAGGAUGAACCCAAGUUUUAUUGAACAAGUGUCUUACAGAGUACAAGCUUAUUAGAGAAGCUAAGCACACAUGAACGUAAUCAUUAACCCCAGAAUACCCAGCUAUAUAUAAGUGAUGCUCGAUCAAGAAGAACUCUCAAUCACCAGCAAGCUUCCCCUGUUUCCCGUGAAGAAGAACAGUAGCUUCCCGCGCUGAUUAACGGCUUAACAGAUUUCUGAAUAAGCCUUCAUUACACGUGUCUUUAUCUCUGUGGUUUAAAGUAACAAAACGACAGUUCAAGCAGCCGUUUAGUUUAAGUGAGGCACGUGCACACCACAUGCCUUCUUUGCAUAUAUAGAUGACACGGUAAUCUUGUCAUAUAGCUCUCUCUGGAUUGUCAACCGACAUGUCAUGAUGUUGUCUCAUCUUCAACUGACUUGUCGCACUUGACUAUAGAAUGAUUUGCAGUUCAUAUUCAACAAUUCGGAUAUGUUAUAUUUGGAUGAUGUUUUCGGAUUGAUUAAUUAUAUGCUUAAUUCUUAUGUGUUGCUUGAUAACUUGGUGGAGUUGUUGGUUUGUUAUACUUGUUAAACCUUAUAUGGAAGUGUUUUUAACCACUUUGUGUAUUCAAGGAUUUGUUCAUUUUUAAGGGGAGACUCUGCCGAAAUUUUUGCUCGCCCAAAAUUGGUAAUAUCUUCUUUGAAUUAUUUUUGGUAAUAUUGUUUCAAAUUGCAUAUAUCUAUUUUUUAAAGCGGGAGAUAAAUAUGAUAAGUUUUUGAUAAUGUCAUUUUGGUUAAAUUUUUCGGUCUUAGCAUACAUUUCUAGUAAUUUUGAUGAUGAAGGGGGAGAAGUCAUGCAUUUUGAAUUUUGAAUAUGAAGACAUGUAAUACAUAUUUUGUAUUUCAAGUAUUUAUGCAUGUUUUUGAAGUAUUAAGGGAGAGUUUUUGUUUUGAAUUUGAUUUAUAAGUUGAAGUCAUGUAUGCCAUGUAUUGAGGGGGAGUUUAAUGUCAAAAUACAUGAGAUGUUUGUCAUCAUAAAAAAGGGGGAGAUUGUUAGCCUAAAAGGCUACACAUAAUGUAAUUUUGAUGAUAACAAACAUGUGUCUUAAGUAAAAAUAAUAAAUAUUGUAUUUCACAUUUUCACUAGUUUUUGAAGGAUAAUAUUUAUGCAAGUGAAUCAAGUGAAAUCAAGAUUGAAGACACUCAAAGGACAACGGUGACAUCAAGAAUAUAGUUUGGAGCUCAACGAACAAAUUAGUGCAAAAAAUUCUUGUAAAACCGGUAUGAUUUAAUUGAUGCAUGAUUUAGCAUUUGAGAAGCUCAAGAGAUUAAUUCAAUUAAAUACUUUUCAUAAACUAAAACGUUUUAUUUUUAUAAAGUAAAGUAUUUUGUGGAUUUGAGUAAUUUGGACUUCAAUGCUAAGUUUUGAAAUCUUUGAUUUUAAUAAGUAUUAUUAUUAAAUUUCGAAGUUGGAUGUUUUUACAAACAUUUGAAAUGUUUUGGGCCAUACUAUAAUUUAUGAAUAUUUUGGACUACAAUGAAAGGUUUUGAGAACUUUGAAAAAAUGGGUAUUAUGUUGAAAAUGACCUUUGUGCGAAACAAUAAAAUCUUUGGGGCCAUAUCAUAAUUUCAGAAAGUUUGGGAAAGACAACUAUUCUUAAGAAGUUCUAAAUUGGACUUAUUUGCAAAGUUUUCUGACAUUUUGGCCAUAGUAUAAUUAUAGAAAGUUGUGGGCCAAAGUAUAAUUUUAGAGAAUAAUGUUACUGUAGCAAAAUUCAAAAAUAACGGUAACAUUACUGUUCCUGAGUGGCUAGCCGGAUAAAUCAAGCGGCUAACCGCUUGAGCGCUGGAAUUUGCCUAUAACGGCUAGUUUUUGGGUUUCAUUAUAAAAACUCAACUCAAACUUCAUUUUAAAAAAAACUGCACGAAAAUAUAAGAUCAUACAACAUAUAUUGAGCUUUCAAAACGCAAAUCAUCAUUGAUUGAAUCAUUGUUGAGCUAUUAUUUGCAUAUCCACUCUUAGAGAGAGUUUUUGUUGUAAUUUUCAUUUCUUAUCCAAUUGUGAGUGUGUAAGUGUGAGAAACACUUGGGGUGAAGAGAUUGGGGACAUAAUCUCUUGAUUGUAAAGGUUCAUUGACACCUUGGAAGUCAAUUGUAAGAACUUGAAGCCUUGGGAGGCUUGGAUAGUGAAAUCCUCGAGCUUGGUUGGCUUGGAGGCGUGGACGUAGGCGGGGAUUGCCGAACCAUGUAAAAAUCCGCGUGUUUGUUUUUCUCUUCCCUUACUCUUUUAUGUUUAUGCUUGUUUGAAUUUAUUGUUCUCUAUUUCAUUAAGGCAUUAGAUUGAUUUGUUGUGGAAUUAUAUUGCAUAAUUUUUAAAAACCCAAUUCACCCCCCCUCUUGGAUUGCAUUACUUGCAUUUCAGACAGUACCCACAAAUUUUUUGGGUGCUGUCAUGCUGCUGUUUAAGGCUAAAAAUAGCACUUGAAAAGUUUUUUAGGUGCAUUCAAGCUACUGUUUGUUGUAAAAAAUGCAAUGGAACUUUCAGUUAUUGGGUUUAUCAGUUAGACAACACCUAAACUACUUUAGGAUGCUAUCAUGCUACUGUUUGAUGUUAAAAAUAGCACCCGAAAGUUGCAGGUGCUAUUUUUACCACAAUUUCAGUAGCUAGCCAGCACCCCAAAAAUAUUCAGGGUGCUGUCCUUUGCUGUUUUUUGUUAAAAACACGUCCUAAAAGUAUCAGGUUCUAUUUUUAUUAGCUACACACCACCCAAAAUUUCCUUGGGGUGCUGUCAUGUUGAUGUUUGAUUAGAAAAACACUUUCAGGUGAUGUCAUGUUGUUGUUUGCUAUUAAAAACAACACUUGGAUAUUCAAAGUGUUGGUUUUGUCAGUUAGACAACACCCAAAAUAUUUUAGGGUGUUGUUAUGCUUUUGUUUGAUGUUAUAAACAACACCUGAAAGUUGCCAGUGCUGUUUUUAACACAAUUUCAGCAACUAGGCAGCACCCAAGAAAUAUUCUGGGUGCUGUCAUGUUGUUGUUUGUUGUUACAAAUAACACCUAAAAGUUUCAGCUGUUAUUUUUAUCAGCUAGACAACGCAAAAAAUUAUUUUUGGUGCUAUCAUGUUGUUGUUUGAUUAGAAAAAUAGCACUUGAACGUUUUAGGUGUUGUUUGAACAUAAUUUUAGCAGCUAAACAUCACCUAAAAAUUUUUUUGGGUGUUGUCCUACUGCUGUUUGCUGUUAAAAUAAGCACCUAAAACUUUCAAGUGGUGUUUUUAUUAGUUGGACAACACUUAAAUAACUUUUCAGGUGCUGUUAUGCUGUGUUUGAUGUUAAUUAAAAACAACACCUGAAAGUUACAAGUGCUGUUUUAACACAAUUACAGUAGCUAUACAUCACCAAAAUAAUUACAGUGCUACCUUUUCUUUUUUCUUUUGUUUUACUUAUUUUCUUGUUUGCUCUUAUGUCCAAACUAAUUCUCUUUUAUUUUUUGGAAAUAAAUAGGUUCAAUUUUCGCACUGGAACAUCAAAGCACAUUUGGUUACGAGGUAGUAAUUAAAAAUUCAGGCUUUAAUUUAUUGUUGUUGAGUUUACAAUGGAUAAGUCUUGGAUUUUAUUGGAUAGAAGAUUCGAAGAAUAUAGAGUCGGUGUUAAAAGCUUUUUGAAUUUUGCCGUUC